UCAGGAUGAACGCUAGCUACAGGCUUAACACAUGCAAGUCGAGGGGCAGCAUGGUCUUAGCUUGCUAAGGCCGAUGGCGACCGGCGCACGGGUGAGUAACGCGUAUCCAACCUGCCUUACACUCUUGGACAGCCUUCUGAAAGGGAGAUUAAUACAAGAUGUUAUCAUGAGUAAGCAUUUUCGCAUGAUUAAAGGUUUACCGGUGUAAGAUGGGGAUGCGUUCCAUUAGAUAGUAGGCGGGGUAACGGCCCACCUAGUCUUCGAUGGAUAGGGGUUCUGAGAGGAAGGUCCCCCACAUUGGAACUGAGACACGGUCCAAACUCCUACGGGAGGCAGCAGUGAGGAAUAUUGGUCAAUGGACGAGAGUCUGAACCAGCCAAGUAGCGUGAAGGAUGAAGGUUCUAUGGAUUGUAAACUUCUUUUAUACGGGAAUAAACGAAUCCACGUGUGGAUUUUUGCAUGUACCGUAUGAAUAAGGAUCGGCUAACUCCGUGCCAGCAGCCGCGGUAAUACGGAGGAUCCGAGCGUUAUCCGGAUUUAUUGGGUUUAAAGGGAGCGUAGAUGGGUUGUUAAGUCAGUUGUGAAAGUUUGCGGCUCAACCGUAAAAUUGCAAUUGAUACUGGCAGUCUUGAGUACAGUUGAGGUAGGCGGAAUUCGUGGUGUAGCGGUGAAAUGCUUAGAUAUCACGAAGAACUCCGAUUGCGAAGGCAGCUUACUAACCUGUAACUGACAUUGAUGCUCGAAAGUGUGGGUAUCAAACAGGAUUAGAUACCCUGGUAGUCCACACGGUAAACGAUGAAUACUCGCUGUAGGCGAUAUACAGUCUGCGGCCAAGCGAAAGCAUUAAGUAUUCCACCUGGGGAGUACGCCGGCAACGGUGAAACUCAAAGGAAUUGACGGGGGCCCGCACAAGCGGAGGAACAUGUGGUUUAAUUCGAUGAUACGCGAGGAACCUUACCCGGGCUUAAAUUGCAACCGAAUAUGGCGGAAACGCUAUAGUUAGCAAUAGCGGUUGUGAAGGUGCUGCAUGGUUGUCGUCAGCUCGUACCGUGAGGUGUCGGCUUAAGUGCCAUAACGAGCGCAACCCUUGCCGAUAGUUACUAACAGGUUAUGCUGAGGACUCUGUCGGGACUGCCAUCGUAAGAUGUGAGGAAGGUGGGGAUGACGUCAAAUCAGCACGGCCCUUACGUCCGGGGCUACACACGUGUUACAAUGGGGGGUACAGAGGGCUGCUACCACGCAAGUGGAUGCCAAUCCCAAAAACCUCUCUCAGUUCGGAUUGAAGUCUGCAACCCGACUUCAUGAAGCUGGAUUCGCUAGUAAUCGCGCAUCAGCCACGGCGCGGUGAAUACGUUCCCGGGCCUUGUACACACCGCCCGUCAAGCCAUGGAAGCCGGGGGUACCUGAAGUGCGUAACCGCAAGGAG
RNAcentral lists this ribosomal RNA (1426 nucleotides) under uncultured organism. Its description in RNAcentral is "16S ribosomal RNA". It matches the Rfam family "Bacterial small subunit ribosomal RNA". The record is from RNAcentral.